UACGUAGGGGCCUAGCGUUGUCCGGAUUUAUUGGGCGUAAAGAGCUCGUAGGCGGUUUGGUAAGUCGGGUGUGAAAUCUCCACGCUCAACGUGGAGGGGCCACCCGAUACUGCCAUGACUGGAGUCCGGUAGGGGAGUGUGGAAUUCCCGGUGUAGCGGUGAAAUGCGCAGAUAUCGGAAGGAACAUCAGUGGCGAAAGCGACUUCCUGGACCAAUACUGACGCUCAUGUGCGAAGGCGUGGGGAGCAAACAGG
This 254-nucleotide ribosomal RNA is filed under the name uncultured bacterium. RNAcentral's name for it is "partial 16S ribosomal RNA". It matches the Rfam family "Bacterial small subunit ribosomal RNA", at positions 524 to 776 of the family's 1533-position model. The record is from RNAcentral.